GGCAUCUUUUCGCUUCUGGUGUUGGAGCUGGUCGCAGCAAGACGCGACCAGCGUCCAUCCGCGCGCGACAUCCUCUGCGAUCCUGCCUGGCAAUCUGUUUGCUGAUCGUUGUAGUUGUUUAGAUUUACUUGCUCCUUUUUGUCAUCUUUGUAGUCUUGGUCUUUUUCAGCAUGCUGAUUUCGAUUCAGAAAUAUGAAUUCGUUGCCAGUUCA
Selaginella moellendorffii is the source of this 212-nucleotide long non-coding RNA. RefSeq lists it as uncharacterized. Lineage: Eukaryota; Viridiplantae; Streptophyta; Lycopodiopsida; Selaginellales; Selaginellaceae. The transcript has 2 exons. The record is from RefSeq and is a predicted model, not a curated record.